UUACCUUAACGGGAGUCGGGGAUGAUGUUUCUGGUGUUAUGCCGGCGUUUCGGGUGCGCCACAUCAUCGUUAACGCGGUUUUAGCGACCCAUACCACAUGGUGUAAGUUUGGGUUUAUUUUUUUUUAUUAUUUUUUUAGUCGAUUAUUUAGAUAGUUCUGUAGACUGGACCUGCUAUUCUACUCAACUGCAUACAACCGUUCCAUUUACCAUCUCGCGCCUCUCUUCCUCUCAGUAGUUCCCUUUACUCGUUCUUCAUCUCUCCCCUUCCUCUACAAAACGAUAUUAAAAAUGCGAUUUAGCUCCACCGCUCCUCUCGUUGUACCGAUUUUGACAAGAUUGGUACCGACGAAAUCAGAAGAAACACAAGCAUCCAAAACAACAGCAAUCAAGUUCUUGCGUUCAAGUGGGUUUCAGACCUCACAGAUGAUGAUUUUUGGUGAAAAACAACAGCAAAUUUCUUUCUUGCGCCUUUCCUCCCGACUAUAUUAGCCCCUUCUUUCCUCUCUUCACGGAUUUCUUCCCUCCUCACAACUAUGAAGCUAAAAAGCCCUAAUUUUGGCAAACGGGCAUCUCUAUUUCCUUCUUCCUUUAUCUCAUGAUUUCUCAAGAAUUCAUACAAAGCAACUAGGGUGAUUUUAUCUAUGCAGUAGAGGUGUCGCAAUAGUUAAUGAUCACUUUCUAUCAUCUACGUUUAUAUGCUGCUUUUUUGUAAAAUUAUUGGUUACAAGCUUCUGUUUAACCAUCAUUGCUCCUCCACAAGAAGCAUGCGAGUUCUAUUCAGAAAGAUUGGGAUUGCGUAGUGGAUAUUCAUGAAAGCUUAAAUCUUUGGAAGGCACAACUUUUGAAUCCCCAGUUAUAACUAUUAUCUUUAUGUUUCGAAGGAGGUUAGGUUAGUAAAUGACUAGAUGUGUGUUAUAGAUUACUCCUUGGUUUACUACUACUACUACUCAAAAAAUAGAAUAAAUCACUUAAUUAUCCGAACCCACAACAAUUUAGUUAUUUUGGUGUUGCCCCUCCUGGAAUAGCUAAACUACAAAAGAUUAUGGUUUUUCUUAUAUUUUAGUUAGCUUUUGUCCGUGUAAAAAAGCUUUGCAUCUUUGAGACAUUUUUAUAUUUUGGAAGCAUCAUAAAAUGUAAUUCAGUUUAAUGAUAUGAAGUAAUAGUAAGUUCUAUUAAUAACU
Long non-coding RNA from Lactuca sativa (garden lettuce), 1183 nucleotides. RefSeq lists it as uncharacterized. The record is from RefSeq and is a predicted model, not a curated record. Lineage: Eukaryota; Viridiplantae; Streptophyta; Magnoliopsida; Asterales; Asteraceae.